RNAcentral lists this ribosomal RNA (430 nucleotides) under Pseudomonadota bacterium. Its description in RNAcentral is "Proteobacteria bacterium partial 16S ribosomal RNA". It matches the Rfam family "Bacterial small subunit ribosomal RNA", at positions 355 to 776 of the family's 1533-position model. The record is from RNAcentral. Lineage: Bacteria; Pseudomonadati; Pseudomonadota.
UGGGGAAUAUUGGACAAUGGGGGGAACCCUGAUCCAGCCAUGCCGCGUGUGUGAAGAAGGCCUUAUGGUUGUAAAGCACUUUAAGCGAGGAGGAGGGUACUGGUAUUAAUACUACCAGGUACUGGACGUUACUCGCAGAAUAAGCACCGGCUAACUCUGUGCCAGCAGCCGCGGUAAUACAGAGGGUGCGAGCGUUAAUCGGAUUUACUGGGCGUAAAGCGUGCGUAGGCGGCUAAUUGAGUCGGAUGUGAAAUCCCCGAGCUUAACUUGGGAAUUGCAUUCGAUACUGGUCAGCUAGAGUAUGGGAGAGGAUGGUAGAAUUCCAGGUGUAGCGGUGAAAUGCGUAGAGAUCUGGAGGAAUACCGAUGGCGAAGGCAGCCAUCUGGCCUAAUACUGACGCUGAGGUGCGAAAGCGUGGGGAGCAAACAGG